UGUACUACUGCAACUAUAUGCAACACAACAAUAUAAAGUAAGCCCUCUCCCCUCCCUCAGUUCUACAAAGAAUUGAGAAUCCUCCUCCCAAAGGGCUUGCAUUGGGGAAGAUGAAGAUGCUUGCCAAGUAAUUUCUUCAAGAGGAAGUGUUUGAUGUAAACCAUGCAUGACUUUGGGCCGAAAGGAUACGAAACGGAAAUGGACCAAAUGAACCAAUGAAACAUAGAGUAUCAGCCAUUAGUGGAGGUGGGAUGAUAGGAUGCUUGCAAAAUAGACUCAUGUUGUUGAUCUUAAUAAACUCAUCUUUCUCUACUCCCAAGAAGCAAAAGUUAGCACCAAUUGGGUUCAAGAACGAGGGACUGCUGAAGAACGGAAGAAGCUAGCUAGCAGCCAAUUAUGCCAUUUCAUCUCUGGAGCUAGCGUAUUAUGUCAAAGUAAACGAUCAAGAUUUAUCUUCUAAAGAACACACUAAAAACUUAGCAGUUCGAUCUUUAAUAAAAGAGCUCUUUUUCUUUUCUUUUGA
This is a long non-coding RNA of Nelumbo nucifera (sacred lotus), 523 nucleotides long. RefSeq lists it as uncharacterized. Lineage: Eukaryota; Viridiplantae; Streptophyta; Magnoliopsida; Proteales; Nelumbonaceae. The record is from RefSeq and is a predicted model, not a curated record.